Molecule: ribosomal RNA, 301 nt
Filed under: uncultured bacterium
Lineage: Bacteria
Description: partial 16S ribosomal RNA
Rfam family: Bacterial small subunit ribosomal RNA
Source: RNAcentral
CAGCCGCCGCGGUAAUACGGAGGGGGCUAGCGUUGUUCAGGAUUACUGGGCGUAAAGCGCACGUAGGCGGCUUGGUAAGUUAGAGGUGAAAGCCUGGAGCUCAACUCCAGAAUUGCCUUUAAGACUGCCGAGCUAGCAGGUGAGAGAGGUAAGUGGAAUUCCGAGUGUAGAGGUGAAAUUCGUAGAUAUUCGGAAGAACACCAGUGGCGAAGGCGGCUUACUGGCUCAUACUGGACGCUGAGGUGCGAAAGCGUGGGGAGCAAACAGGAUUAGAUACCCCCGUAGUCCCUGUCUCUUAUAA